UUUUUUUUUUUUUUUUUUUUUUUUUUUUUUAAAGCACGCAACGAGGUGCUUCGUGCACAGAUAAUUCAGAGAAUAGGUCCUUAGUGGAUGAGUAAAGAUCACAAUGGCAAAGAUUCCAGGGGCCGACUCUGCUCAGGAGAAUUAGAAAGCGCAUCGUGGUCUAGCCAAAUCCAGAGGCUCACAGACUGAAACAGCACACUUCUCCCACUGGCCUCUUCUUCACCAUGAUUCACAGUCUUUUCUUGAUCAACUCUGCUGGGGAUAUUUUCCUGGAGAAGCACUGGAAAAGCGUGGUCAGCCGCUCUGUUUGCGAUUACUUUUUCGAGGCCCAAGAGAGAGCUACGGAGGCUGAAAAUGUGCCUCCCGUCAUCCCCACACCUCACCACUACCUUCUGAGCGUUUACCGGCACAAGAUCUUCUUUGUGGCUGUGAUCCAGACGGAGGUCCCGCCUCUGUUUGUCAUUGAAUUCCUUCACCGAGUAGUGGACACAUUUCAGG
Molecule: long non-coding RNA, 498 nt
Filed under: Rattus norvegicus (Norway rat)
Lineage: Eukaryota; Metazoa; Chordata; Mammalia; Rodentia; Muridae
Description: long non-coding RNA NONRATT011624
Source: RNAcentral